GGGGAUGACCGGUUUUGACAGCGUGUAGAGGUGGUGUGUAAGCGUGCAGAGCAAUGAUGGCUACGCUCUUUAAACAGAGACAUCAGCAAUUUCAAAUGGCGAAAACAACUACGCUCUCGCUGCCUAAUUGAAGUACAGUAGAUUAGCUUUAUCUCCGCAACAGUUGCAGAGACGGGACAUCGCCCGAUUGCCCAUUUUCCGAGGCGUAUCGACAAGGCGGUGCAGGAAUAUCGGAAAUAGGAUGCUAUUUUCCUCGCACGGCAUCUGAAACCUUUAGAGGAUAAGGCACCGGUUGGGGGUUCCAUGCCGGCCGGCGCAUGAAAAUCAACUUGGAAAUACGCACGUAGAAAGCGCAUUAGUUCCGCGUUUGGACGAGGGUUCGAAUCCCUCCAUCUCCACCC
RNAcentral lists this transfer-messenger RNA (401 nucleotides) under Muribaculaceae bacterium. It matches the Rfam family "transfer-messenger RNA". Rfam says of the family: Bacterial tmRNA, also known as 10Sa RNA or SsrA, is named for its dual tRNA and mRNA-like properties. Lineage: Bacteria; Pseudomonadati; Bacteroidota; Bacteroidia; Bacteroidales; Muribaculaceae. The record is from RNAcentral.